RNAcentral lists this ribosomal RNA (285 nucleotides) under uncultured bacterium. RNAcentral describes it as "partial 16S ribosomal RNA". It matches the Rfam family "Bacterial small subunit ribosomal RNA", at positions 28 to 310 of the family's 1533-position model. The record is from RNAcentral.
GAUGAACGCUAGCGGCAGGCCUAACACAUGCAAGUCGAGGGGCAGCGGGUUUUAGCAAUAAGAUGCCGGCGACCGGCGCACGGGUGCGUAACGCGUAUACAAUUUGCCUUAUACAGGGAGAUAGCCCGGAGAAAUUCGGAUUAAUAUCCUAUAAUAAUGUUGGAUCGCAUGGUUUGACAUUUAAAGCUACGGCGGUAUAAGAUGAGUAUGCGUCUGAUUAGCAGUUGGUGAGGUAAUGGCUCACCAAGGCUACGAUCAGUAGGGGGCCUGAGAGGGUUAUCCCCA